CCUGAUCCAGCAAUGCCGCGUGGAUGAAGAAGGUCUUCGGAUUGUAAAGUCCUUUUGGCGGGGACGAUGAUGACGGUACCCGCAGAAUAAGCUCCGGCUAACUUCGUGCCAUCAGCCGCGGUAAUACGAAGGGGGCUAGCGUUGCUCGGAAUGACUGGGCGUAAAGGGCGCGUAGGCGGACGGCACAGUCAGGCGUGAAAUUCCUGGGCUCAACCUGGGGACUGCGUCUGAGACGUGUUGUCUUGAGUAUGGAAGAGGGUUGUGGAAUUUCCAGYGUAGAGGUGAAAUUCGUAGAUAUUGGAAAGAACACCGGUGGCGAAGGCGGCAACCUGGUCCAUUACUGACGCUGAKGCGCCGAAAGCGUGGGGAGCAAACAGGAUUAGAUACCCUGGUAGUCCACGCUGUAAACGAUGUGUGCUGGAUGYUGGGGUGCUUABCACUUCAUUGUCG
This 450-nucleotide ribosomal RNA is filed under the name uncultured Alphaproteobacteria bacterium. Its description in RNAcentral is "bacterial SSU rRNA". It matches the Rfam family "Bacterial small subunit ribosomal RNA", at positions 382 to 848 of the family's 1533-position model. Lineage: Bacteria; Pseudomonadati; Pseudomonadota; Alphaproteobacteria. The record is from RNAcentral.